AGAGAGACGGAGGGGAUGAAGGAGAGAGAGAGAUGGAGGGAGGAGGGAAUUGGAGGGCUGAGCCGUGGGGCUCUUUGCGCUUCCGUCUCGGCACCUAUUUGACGUCAGCUCACCGAGCGCAGAGGGGGCGAGGAGGGAGGGAGGUGCAGGAUCAGGCAUGGGUGGAUGAGUGAUGGAGAGAGCGCGUGAGUGAGGGAGAGCGAGCGGCGAAGAAGAUAUGUCAGCAACAGAAAAUUCACACGAAGAGACGCUCACGCCGAGGACUCGACACUCGACGCGAGCGACUCGAAGCAUCGAUGCGGGAGUGAUUUAAAGCCGAGAGGGACGCGGCUUAUAAUCGGAGGAAUUAAAAUAAGACGCGGGCUGAAAGGGGUUCCCGGCUCCUCCACCCGGCAGCCUUUCCCCAAGAGCCCUGGGGGCUGUGUGGUGGAGGGCCGUGCGUGACGUCAUUUAUGGACGGCCCCUUACACGCUAAGAGAAUGGCAUGGGAACGAGAGAGAGAUGGAGGAAAGUAAGGAGCGAGGCGUGGAGUUCUUCUGGGUGGCGAAUAGAGAGCAUUGGCUCCUCAUCGGCGGUGGUGGCGGUGACGAGUUAUUGGACCAGGGCCGCCGUUUGGAUUCGAACCGGGAAACCCCCCUCGGCUGGAGUGUUUGGACCGCACAGGGGGAGUUUGUUUCUGCCAUCGUCCACGUGCAGAGCCCAUGACUCAGCCCAGCCCAAGUCCGCUCUUCCCUCCGGUCGAUGUCGCCGCCUCGCGCGCUUCCAGAUGCGCUUCUGCGGCCGUCUGGAACGCUCUUCCCUUCAGAUGUUCGGAAGCCACUGGAGACUGUGCACUUUUAAAUCAUCUCGACUGACGCACUCAUUUCUUUAGAGCUCUUUUUG
Petromyzon marinus (sea lamprey) is the source of this 882-nucleotide non-coding RNA. NCBI's taxonomy places the organism in Eukaryota, Metazoa, Chordata, Hyperoartia, Petromyzontiformes, Petromyzontidae. The record is from RefSeq and is a predicted model, not a curated record.